GGCUGGUCCGAUGGUAGUGGGUUAUCAAAACAUAUUAACAUUAGUGUCACUAAAUUUGGUAUACAACCCCCCACUGCUAAAUUUGGCUGGCUUUUU
Unclassified non-coding RNA from Ursus americanus (American black bear), 96 nucleotides. It matches the Rfam family "Y RNA". Rfam says of the family: Y RNAs are components of the Ro ribonucleoprotein particle (Ro RNP), in association with Ro60 and La proteins. The record is from Ensembl. NCBI's taxonomy places the organism in Eukaryota, Metazoa, Chordata, Mammalia, Carnivora, Ursidae.